RNAcentral lists this long non-coding RNA (1792 nucleotides) under Nicotiana benthamiana. RNAcentral's name for it is "long non-coding RNA (NBEN_LNC042066)". Lineage: Eukaryota; Viridiplantae; Streptophyta; Magnoliopsida; Solanales; Solanaceae. The record is from RNAcentral.
CUUGAGGGGGAGUGUUAGAUAUGUAAUUAUAGUAGAACUCUAGUCCAAAGUGUAUUAGGAGUUGGUUAGGUUAUGUGUAUUAUAUAUAGGGCUCAUUGUAUCGUGUUUAAUAUCAAGAGUUAUAUUUUUCUCCCGUGCUUUCUCACAAUCAUUAUUUAUGUGGAUAUUAUAAGUGUCAUAUAAGCACUUAAUCUAGGUUAUUUAAGUUUAUUGAGUUUUCAAAUACUUUAUUAUAAUUUUUUCCUAGGGGAACUUCUUGAAUAUGGUCUGCUAUGUUUCCUGUUUUUACUGUCUUCUGCUCUUUUCAGUUAUAAAUAUAGCAGGGAAAAAGAAAAUAUAUGUCACUAUGUAUUGUGAAACCUAAGUUUUAAGAAGAUCGUACUCAAACUUUGAAGCAUGGAUGGAUCUUUAGGAUUUCCCAUCCUGAUGUAUCAGUAAUGUACAAGUGCUCAUUAACAAUAAUGUCUCUCUCAUUCAGUAUUAACGUAUAGAGGAGAUCAACAAAUUAUCCUAUAACCUCCUUUACUUUCUGUUUUCUGUCAUAUAAGAUGGAUGUGAGCCUUAUAGGUAGAGGCAAAACUAAUUAAGACUGAGCAUACAUGCCCCAGGAAGUCCAUUUCUCAUAAUCUGAUGGUCUCAGAGAAACAGGCAUUGAUGAAUUUUUUAAGAGUGAUAAAUUUUGAGACAGGUUUUUAGAGGAACUGUGAAAGCAAAGAUAAAAACCGGCGGUCUAACUUAGGAAUGAAUGUACGGCUUCAAACUCUGCCACGAACAAAAGCCUGAGAUUUGGAGAAGGGUAGAGGAGUCAGGAGUGAACCCAUUGUCCACCGAUUUUUGAACUUUGUGCCACUGGCUCUGGAGGAUUUCUCGCCUAUUAAAAAAAAAAGAAAAACUUAGGAAUGAAUGUCUAUUUACCUCAUUCUUGGGAUAGUGGAUAUUAAAUGUUUUCUGCAUUCAGGAAGCUUAAAGGAAGUUGAGAUAGGAAAAAAUGCAAGAGCUAUGGAAUUUGUGAGAGGAAUUAAUGAGGAUAACUGAAGGGGUAUUUUGAGUGGUGCCUCCACUUGCUUGCCAUCAUUUUGAGCAGGGUGCUGGUAUUGUUUGUGUAAAUAUUCUUUGCAACAAUGUUUAGCUACCGGGAGUUAAUUUAUAUACAGUGGCUUGACCGUGACAAGAGGCAAAUGUAGCCUUUUAACUACGAGUUCACCUGAACCCAAGUUUUUGUGACACAGAGUUUAUAUACAUUAUGUGAAAACACAGUAAAAUUUUAAUAAAUAUUAGAUCUGAACCUAUAAUUUUUAUAUUACAAUGAUUUCAGUGCUAAGAAUCUUAAAGGUUGAAAACAUCAAGUUUAAAUCCUAGAUCCACCUCUGUUGCGACAGGAUCAAAAUAUAUGCCAUACCAUAUGCUGUCAAAAGGCACCUCAAUUACUUUUAACCAUACACCAAAAAUAAGAAAAGAAGAAGGAAAAAAAAUUAAAAUUUUACUUUUGUAUUCUUGUUUCGUGUUCAUCACAUGUACGUAUUUUAUGGAUUUCAGCAAAAUCUUUUCAGCAUAUAGUUACAUGUUAUUUGGGGCCCCAGGUGAAGGUUUUCUACAUUGACGUCCCCUGCAACUGUUUAUGUCAGAGGACAUGAAGAGGACUUACACCAUUACAAUGAUAGGCUGCCUUUUUAAGUCAUGAGCUGAUGUUACAUGCCCUUCAUUAUGCUUGAUUUUGGAUGCAUUACUGAUUAACAACAACAACAACAACAACUACCCAGUAUAGUCCCACAAAGUGGGGUCUGGGGAGGGU